Molecule: small nucleolar RNA, 107 nt
Organism: Dioscorea cayenensis subsp. rotundata (Guinea yam)
Lineage: Eukaryota; Viridiplantae; Streptophyta; Magnoliopsida; Dioscoreales; Dioscoreaceae
Source: RefSeq, a predicted model, not a curated record
AAUCGGUGUUGUGGACAUUUCCACAAUAGGUCCUUGAACCACUCCCAUGUCAAAAACAAGGACUCGAGCUCCAUCUGAACAAAUAACGAUAUCUCAUUACGAAGCUU